CUAGCUUUAUUUAAAGCAAUCUAAUCCCAUGGGCGGAACCAUUUGUCCUCCUUGUAUACCACUCUCAUAUGUUAAAAAAUAUGAAUUUUAUUCUUUGUUUUAUUUUUUAAAAAUCGUAAUUCCCAGCUAAUGUCAUUUUUUCCUUCAAUCCAUUUAACAAUAUUUUUAUAAUUAACUAUUAUUUGCUAUGGCACCAACUUUUUCUAACAAAAAUUGAAUUGCAUCUUCUAAUUUUUGGAGUAUAAUCUCUUCAGUCAUGUUUGCUCUUGUAACAUCAAAAGCUUAGACUGAUUUUGGGGGGUUCACAAAGGAUUGAACUCUUGAACUUUUGAAUUUAGUGCUCUAAUAUCAUGUCAUGAUACCACUCAUCCCAAAAGUUUCAGCUGAUGAGAAAAGGCUGACAUUGGAAUAGGAGAUUGGAGGAGUUUGCUAGAAGAUUCCAGACUCUAUCUCGGAUGAAGAAGACAUACUUACCAGAAAAAACAUUCCUCAUCUAGAAAUACAGAAAGUUCAGUCAUUCAAGAAGUUAAAGAGUUGGUUCCAGCCCUUCCAGAUAGGUAUUUUUUCGUUCCUCGUCUAUGAUGUAUUGAUGGCAUUAUUUUAAGUGUAGUAAACAUACAAUGUGAUUUUAUUAGUAAAUUUUCUGUUUUGGAUGGGCUUGGAAUGCCACUGAGAAGAGAAGUAAUGUGCGAAGUGCGAACACCUUCCCCUUUGAGUAGACUUUAUUUUGUUCAUCCACGGUUUAAUUUAUUUACUGGAUUAAUUUUUUUUUGGUGACUUUACUGGAUUAAU
Molecule: long non-coding RNA, 792 nt
Organism: Arachis stenosperma
Lineage: Eukaryota; Viridiplantae; Streptophyta; Magnoliopsida; Fabales; Fabaceae
Exons: 4
Source: RefSeq, a predicted model, not a curated record